RNAcentral lists this long non-coding RNA (212 nucleotides) under Lathyrus oleraceus (garden pea). Its description in RNAcentral is "Pisum sativum (pea) long non-coding RNA (PSAT_LNC000673)". Lineage: Eukaryota; Viridiplantae; Streptophyta; Magnoliopsida; Fabales; Fabaceae. The record is from RNAcentral.
AAACAAUAGAGAUACAAUACAAAAAUUAAAAUAUGAAAAUAAUAAAAACAACAACAUACAACACAUAUUUUUUACUUAUACUUAUACCUCAAACACAUCGCGAGUACACUUCUCCGACAUCCUCUAAAGCUCUUCCUCCUUCGACUUCUUUCGCUCCUCCUCGACCAACCUCUCUCGCUUCUCUUGAUCCUUUUGGACAGUCUCUCGCACCU